CAAGGAAUCUUCGGCAAUGGGCGCAAGCCUGACCGAGCAACGCCGCGUGGAGGACGACGGCCUUCGGGUUGUAAACUCCUUUUAUGGGGGAUGAUACGGACCGUACCCCAUGAAUCAGCCCCGGCUAACUCUGUGCCAGCAGCCGCGGUAAUACAGAGGGGGCAAGCGUUGUCCGGAUUUACUGGGCGUACAGCGCGCGCAGGCGGCCGUGUAUGUGACCGGUGACAGUCGCGGGCUCAACCCGCGCCGGCCCGGUUACACAGCACAGCUGGAGGCAGGGAGAGGGAUGUGGAAUACCCGGUGGAGCGGUGAAAUGCGUAGAGAUCGGGUGGAACACCAGCGGCGAAGGCGGCAUCCUGGCCCUGUACUGACGCUGAGGCGCGAUAGCGUGGGGAGCAAA
This 400-nucleotide ribosomal RNA is filed under the name uncultured bacterium. RNAcentral's name for it is "bacterial SSU rRNA". It matches the Rfam family "Bacterial small subunit ribosomal RNA", at positions 355 to 772 of the family's 1533-position model. The record is from RNAcentral.